This 489-nucleotide ribosomal RNA is filed under the name uncultured bacterium. RNAcentral's name for it is "partial 16S ribosomal RNA". It matches the Rfam family "Bacterial small subunit ribosomal RNA", at positions 28 to 506 of the family's 1533-position model. The record is from RNAcentral.
GAUGAACGCUAGCGAUAGGCUUAACACAUGCAAGUCGAGGGGCAGCAUGGUCUUAGCUUGCUAAGGCUGAUGGCGACCGGCGCACGGGUGCGUAACGCGUAUGCAACUUGCCUCACAGAGGGGGAUAACCCGUCGAAAGACGGACUAAUACCGCGUACACUCUAUGUUGGGCAUCCAAUGUAGAGGAAAUGAAAUUCGCUGUGAGAUAGGCAUGCGUCCCAUUAGCUAGUUGGUGAGGUAACGGCUCACCAAGGCGACGAUGGGUAGGGGAACUGAGAGGUUGAACCCCCACACUGGUACUGAGACACGGACCAGACUCCUACGGGAGGCAGCAGUGAGGAAUAUUGGGCAAUGGGCGAGAGCCUGAACCAGCCAAGUCGCGUGAAGGAUGACUGUCUUAUGGAUUGUAAACUUCUUUUAUACGGGAAUAACAAGAGUCACGUGUGGCUCCCUGCAUGUACCGUAUGAAUAAGCAUCGGCUAACUCCGU